This is a long non-coding RNA of Ictalurus punctatus (channel catfish), 695 nucleotides long. NCBI's taxonomy places the organism in Eukaryota, Metazoa, Chordata, Actinopteri, Siluriformes, Ictaluridae. The record is from Ensembl.
AGGGAAGUCUCUUUGAGCUACUCUUUAUGUCAGUGUGGUUCAUUCAGACUCUCUCCGAGCUCGUAUACACUCUGAAGCAAACCACAUCUGCGCAGGUACCAUAGAGAAGAGAAACACUCUACUCUUAAACACAGAAAGGCUGAAGGCUGACGGAGGAAAGAGGGUGCGCUUCACACAGGGCGGAGUCAGCACUGCUUCUGGACUCACUGGAUUGGACAAUUUACACCUGCAGUUCUGAUUUCAACUCUAAGUGGGCUGUCCAUAUUGGGCCAUCCUCAGCAGCAGCAAGUGGUUUCCAAGUGAUGAGCACUCCAACUAGAAGUAGGGCAUCAGGAUGGAUCAGGCAGGUCUGGAGAGCAGAAAGGGUCAGGAUCACUGGUAUCUUUUUGAAUAAAACCUUUUGUUAAUUUAAGGGCUAAAAACACACCCUGCUUAAACUUUCACUCAGUGUAAGAGAAUAAAAUGUACAACACGUUUUACAAUAUAUACCUGGACUUAAAACAAUAAACAUGCAAAUAAUAUUUGCAGGUAAACUUUUAAUAUUGUUAUGUGGGAACAAAAACAGAAAACCUAGUCUUUGGAUGAUGUUAGAAUUUAUUUCACUGUGAAGAUGCUCUCAAGAAAAAAAUAUUUUGUCAGAGAGAAACUUGUGGAUGUCAGCAGUGUGCAGAUCACCGUGGACAACUGGAAGGGGG